UUUUUCUUUUCUCCCAAUUUUUUUUCUCGCUUCUGGGGUUUUCGCAUGAAGAAUGCUUCGAUUCGACGACUGCUGAGGAGAUUCACGUUGAGUAAUCUUAUGAUUAGCACGAAAUCAUGACAAUCGACUGGGCUUCUUCUUCUUCCUCGUGGUGAUUUGAUCUGUUCGGUUAAUUCAAGCACAAGACUAUUUCAAUCGGCUAGGAUUCUUCUCCGUCGUGAUUAUUUGGUAAUUAAGAUCUAGGGUUUGUUUGUUCUGUUUGGUUUGAUUCGGCACGAAACUAUUUUAAUCGGCGGCUUGGUUUCUUCUUCCUCCUCAUGGUUUUGAGACCGCAAGUGGAGGAGUCAAGAUGAGAGAUGAGCACUAAGGUACCAGUUGUUCCUACUCCUUUUCUUAGUUUGUGAGUUUGAAACUGUUCAACUCCAGUUUCACGUGUACAAGGUAAAUUCCUUUCUUUUUUUAUUUUCUUUUGUUAUUUUUUUUGUGUUUUCAAGUUUUUGAGGACUGAAAUCAAAUGGGGUACAAUUGAUCAGUCCACUUCUGUUCGGAUUUAUUGUUUUUAUUUUAUUUAAGCAAUUGACUUUUGUAUCAUUCUGAUUUUAGAA
Molecule: non-coding RNA, 605 nt
Organism: Camelina sativa (false flax)
Lineage: Eukaryota; Viridiplantae; Streptophyta; Magnoliopsida; Brassicales; Brassicaceae
Source: RefSeq, a predicted model, not a curated record